Molecule: long non-coding RNA, 604 nt
Organism: Hyaena hyaena (striped hyena)
Lineage: Eukaryota; Metazoa; Chordata; Mammalia; Carnivora; Hyaenidae
Exons: 3
Source: RefSeq, a predicted model, not a curated record
AUAAAAUCUACAACUCUCAAAGGAAAAGAAUACUUUCUCAGUGUUUUUGUUUUUUACAAGAGAAUUAUUUAAAGAAUGUAUUCCCUUUCCGCUUGAGUCCUUGAAGAACUCCCAUCUGUCUUUGUCUUUAUAAAUUUGUGAGUGCUUUGCUUUGCAUGGAUUAUAACUCUUACCAAACCCUGAUGAGGAAUUGAGCUUCAGUUAUUUUAACUUGCCUUGGCAGAAUUGCAUCGCUUCAGACAGGAUUCCUUGACUCCCUGAUUAGGAUGAGGAAAUCAAGACCCCUCAACUCUGCGUUUCUGUUCUCCCCAGCUUCCCACACCCUCCUAUUACUAGUGGGCUGAGUGUGAUCACAAGGGUCCUUCAGAGAGGAAGAGGAGGAGGUCACUACAGAAGAAAGCACGGAGAGAGGCCAUGUGGCUGUGAAGAUGGAAGAGGGGCCGUGAGGAAAGGGUGAUGGACAACGCAAGGAAAUGGAUUCUCCCCCAGAGCCCCCAGAAAGGAACACAGCUCAGCCACCACCUUGACAUUAGCCCAGGGAGACCUGGGUUGAACAUCUCUCCCAAAGGACCCUAAGACAAUAAAGUUGUUUUGUCUCAUGCCA